RNAcentral lists this ribosomal RNA (532 nucleotides) under uncultured bacterium. RNAcentral's name for it is "bacterial SSU rRNA". It matches the Rfam family "Bacterial small subunit ribosomal RNA", at positions 254 to 801 of the family's 1533-position model. The record is from RNAcentral.
GAGGUAACGGCCCACCAAGGCGACGAUCAGUAUCCGGACUGAGAGGUUGGCCGGCCACAUUGGGACUGAGAUACGGCCCAGACUCCUACGGGAGGCAGCAGUGGGGAAUAUUGGGCAAUGGACGCAAGCCUGACCCAGCAACGCCGCGUGAAGGAAGAAGGCUUUCGGGUUGUAAACUUCUUUUAAGAGGGAAGAGCAGAAGACGGUACCUCUUGAAUAAGCCACGGCUAACUACGUGCCAGCAGCCGCGGUAAUACGUAGGUGGCAAGCGUUGUCCGGAUUUACUGGGUGUAAAGGGCGUGUAGCCGGGCUGACAAGUCAGAUGUGAAAUUCCGGGGCUCAACCCCGGACCUGCAUUUGAAACUGUUGGUCUUGAGUAUCGGAGAGGCAGGCGGAAUUCCUAGUGUAGCGGUGAAAUGCGUAGAUAUUAGGAGGAACACCAGUGGCGAAGGCGGCCUGCUGGACGACAACUGACGGUGAGGCGCGAAAGCGUGGGGAGCAAGCAGGAUUAGAUACCCUGGUAGUCCGCGCU